Molecule: ribosomal RNA, 253 nt
Filed under: uncultured bacterium
Lineage: Bacteria
Description: partial 16S ribosomal RNA
Rfam family: Bacterial small subunit ribosomal RNA
Source: RNAcentral
UACGAAGGGGGCUAGCGUUGCUCGGAAUCACUGGGCGUAAAGGGUGCGUAGGCGGGGCUUUAAGUCAGGGGUGAAAUCCUGGAGCUCAACUCCAGAACUGCCUUUGAUACUGAGGAGCUUGAGUACGGGAGAGGUGAGUGGAAUUCCCAGUGUAGAGGUGAAAUUCGUAGAUAUUGGGAAGAACACCGGUGGCGAAGGCGGCUCACUGGCCCGUUACUGACGCUCAGGCGCGACAGCGUGGGGAUCAAACAGG